UACGUAGGUGGCAAGCGUUAAUCGGAAUUACUGGGCGUAAAGCGCACGCAGGCGGUCUGUCAAGUCGGAUGUGAAAUCCCCGGGCUCAACCUGGGAACUGCAUCCGAAACUGGCAGGCUUGAGUCUCGUAGAGGGAGGUAGAAUUCCAGGUGUAGCGGUGAAAUGCGUAGAGAUCUGGAGGAAUACCGGUGGCGAAGGCGGCCUCCUGGACGAAGACUGACGCUCAGGUGCGAAAGCGUGGGGAGCAAACAGG
This 253-nucleotide ribosomal RNA is filed under the name uncultured bacterium. RNAcentral describes it as "partial 16S ribosomal RNA". It matches the Rfam family "Bacterial small subunit ribosomal RNA", at positions 524 to 776 of the family's 1533-position model. The record is from RNAcentral.